This 253-nucleotide ribosomal RNA is filed under the name uncultured bacterium. Its description in RNAcentral is "partial 16S ribosomal RNA". It matches the Rfam family "Bacterial small subunit ribosomal RNA", at positions 524 to 776 of the family's 1533-position model. The record is from RNAcentral.
UACGUAGGGUGCAAGCGUUGUCCGGAAUUACUGGGCGUAAAGCGCGUGUAGGCGGCUUGGCAAGUCGGGUGUGAAAGCCCUGGGCUCAACCUAGGAAGUGCACUCGAAACUGCUUCGCUUGAGUGUCGGAGAGGAAAGCGGAAUUCUCGGUGUAGAGGUGAAAUUCGUAGAUAUUAGGAAGAACACCAGUGGCGAAGGCGGCUCACUGGAUCGGUACUGACGCUGAGGUGCGAAAGCGUGGGGAGCAAACAGG